AAUCAUCUGCCAUUGGAUGGUUCCCGAUAUGCGUUGCGUUUCGGGAGUAAAUGGGAAUGUGAAGGGAUGGACCCACAUCGGGCAUUCUUAUCGCAGCCGACCCCGCGACUGUAGAACGGUCAGGGUUCGCCAUCCGGGAAAGCCGGUAUUCCGGACUGUCCGCAAUCGCGGCGGCGGAGGCAUCGGUCCAACCGGAAAAGCCACUGGAGCAGUAUUGCGAUCAGCCGGGGCCGGACGCCUCUAUAAUCUACGAAUCGUCCACCUCUUCGUGAUAUCAGCCGAUUGCCGUCGUGCAAUCCGGCGAAGAAACUCCGGGAAGGCGAGGCGAACCCGUUCGUGCCUUUGCAGGCACGUGACGCCGUGAGCCAGGAGACCUGCCAUCCGCAAAGGGCCCCA
Molecule: non-coding RNA, 396 nt
Filed under: Pararhizobium polonicum
Lineage: Bacteria; Pseudomonadati; Pseudomonadota; Alphaproteobacteria; Hyphomicrobiales; Rhizobiaceae
Source: RNAcentral